UAAUAUUCAUAAAAUGGAAUAAAAUAAUUCUAGCAGUUGCAUCACUUACUUGAGCUAUAUGGAUAUUGUUAAAGGUCCCAAACUUGAUGUACCAAAUUUAGGAUUAUAGUAAUGGACUCACUUGAUGCACAAACCUAUUAAAAGAAAAUAAAAAUCAAAGAAAGCCCAGCAGCCAAAUCUGCAAGGGCCCACUAUAGAUAAAGCCCAAGUGAAAGCAACUUGGUGCAUCACCUAGUUUGACCUUUUGAGCUUCUUGAUGUGCAUAAGCAGGUGUGUCACCUACUUGAACAAUUAGUGGCUGAAAAUGGACCCCAAAAAAGGAGGUUCUAGAGGACAUUUUUGUGGUCAAUAAACUUCCAUAUAUAUCCAAUAUGAGCAGAUAUUCUUCACCCAAUUUAACACAUAAUAUUGAGAAUUAUCUCCAGCUCUCUCUCUCUCUCUCUCUCUCUCUCUCUCUCUUUUAUCUUCAAGAUUAAAACAGGAGUUUUUAGGGUUCUUCAAGAAACCCUCAUAUCUGCAAAACAAGGCAAGUGAAAACUGGAGUUUGCUUAAUUCUCGCAUGGAUUAUUGGAAAAAUAUGUUUUUCAUGCUCAAGUAUAAAUACAAAAUCAAAAGAAUUCAAGAAGAUAAUGAUCACUUCCUUAGUUACAAAGAGACCUUUUUCUUGUUCUUUGGUUUAAGUAUGAAGGGAACCUAAAUUUCUAGAAGAAUUCAAGUUAUAAGGAGAAGUUGCUGAAAUUGAGGUAAGGUGACUGCCCAUUUUUUUGUCUUCCUUAUGUAUGAGUUUGAGUGAGGAAUUAGGGGUGUGCUGUAAUAAAGAACUCAAGAGGGUAUUGAAUUCAAUAAUUGGUUGUAUGAUAAAGAAUAUUUGGGGCUGUUCUAUGUGUAUUAUUUUUGGUGUAGCUUGGUUGAUUUUGAGGAAGGAUAUAUAAUGUAUGUGUUGGUCAUAGAAUGAGGGUGUGGUGAUACACGUUAUGUUAAAGGGAUAGAUGGGUUCAUUAUCUGUCAAAGUUAGCUACUGUUUUACGAGGCUCAUGGUGUAAUAGCUACUAAUUUUAGUUUACCAUGACUUAAAUUGUAGAUUAAAACCGAAAAGGGGAGGCUGAAUAGUGAUAGUUAUACUGGUCAAAGGAUAAGUUAUGCAAGGCUAUUCGAUUCUAUAUCCCUUUGGCAUGAAAUUUGAUAAUUGCAAUUAAUACUAAUGAGGUGAUUCUCAUAAGUUCUAUUCCUAGAAAAGGAAACAUAGUGGCAGCGUACUAUCUCCAAAUAGCUAACAAUAUUUCCCCCUCUCCGAAGUGCAUAGAACUACUUCAUUAUAUGUUCACUAUUUUAUACUUGUGAAAUUAUUCCCGCAUGUGCUAGUUUAGAAAUGGUAUUUGCAAAAGAAAGUCUGGCGAAUCCUCCUCUUUGUUGGUUGAAGUCAAUUCUGUCAUUAAACUCUUAAAGUAAUGUGUUGAUGUGACAUAGCUCCUUAUGCCAUUGUUAUCACCUUGAAGUAUUAUUUUCAUGUCUUCAAAUAUUGGUCCGUACUUCCAUAUCUCCAAAAUGGUUAUGACCACCAAAAUAAUAUCUCAAAAGAGUUACGAUUAUCCAAAGAACAAUGGCAAAAGAGUUAUGAACUCAUAAACAACAAUGUCAAAGAAUAAAUAAUCUAAGUGAAGAAAUAUACAUAAUUACGGGUGGAAGCGCAGGAGCGAAAGCCUAGCAUGGGUCGAUCCCAACUGGUACAUAAGGGUGGCAGCUCAGGGGCGAAAGCCUAGCAUGGGCGCCCUAUUGUUAUAGAAGGGUUGCAGCUCAAGGGAAAAAGCCUAGCAUGGGCCGAUCUCAAAUUGUGUAAUUAUGAGGACCGUAUCGUAGGGGUUAAUAUGCCUAGCUGGUCACUUGUAUCACAUGCCCUACAAAGAUAUUAUAACAUACAUACAAGUAAAGAAAACAAUGUAACUUACAUGAUCUCACAAGGGUAAGUAAAUGUGGUCUUCUCUCCUGAUCUAUGCACUCAUAUGUUGAUACUUGAUUUCAUUCGAGCCCUCAUAUUAUAUAUGCUAUAUUGCCUACAUAUUCAGUAUAUUUUUCGUAUUGACACCCCUCGCUGGGGACGCUGCAUUUCAUGCCGCAGACACAUGUACUCUAGCUAGUAGACCUCCUUAGAAGGAGGAUACGACAUUUAGAUACUUUUGAUGAGCUCCAGGUUGAUCUGGAGCUUUACUGAGUCUUGUGUAAAUUCAUUUUGGUAUUGUAUCAUAGUUGAGGGUAAGGCGGGGCCUACUCUAGGUAUUCUAUCUUUUUAGAGGCUUUGUAAACGUAUGUUCAUGGUUCAGUUAUGUCUUAAGGAGUUGUGGCCUCAACGCCAAGUCUUGUAUUUAAUUUUUGGGUCUACUUAUGUUGGUUUUUAUCGCUGCAUCCUUUUUAAACUUAUCACGAUUGUUAUAGUUAUAUGCAUAGUAAGAACAUAUUUCAGGUUGGUUCUGUUGGGCCCUUAGGGCAUCGGGUGCUUGUCUGUCUUAAUGGGAUUUGAGGCAUGACAUCCGCUCAUUUUAUUCCCGUCAAGUCUACCUAUUGGGUGGAGGGUUAUGCAAAGGAUCUUCAUAGAUGAGAUUGUGUGUUGCCAUAGUAUUUCGUUAUCCAUCAUAUUGGAUUGGGGUGCACAAUUACAUCUAGGUUCUAGAGGUCAUUCCAAAAAGGAUUUGUUACCAAGGUGAAGUUAAGCACCACUUUUCAUCCUCAAAUGGAUGGUCAAGUGAAUUAUACAAUUCAAACCCUUAAGUAUGUGAUUAGAGCUUGUAUUAUUGAAUUCAAUGGAAAUUGGUAUAGACACUUGCCAUUGGUUGAGUUUUCCUACAACAAUAGUUACCAUUCAUCUAUAUCUAUGGCUCCUUAUGAAGCCUUGUAUGGUAGGAAAUGUAUAUAUCCAAUUGGAAGGUUCGAAGUGCACGAUACUUCACUUUUGUAUCUAAAAGUUUCGCCUAUGAAAGGGGUGGUGAGAUUUAAGGUUGCAUACGAGUUGAGGUUACCUAGUUAAUUGACUUUGGUUCAUCUGGUGUUCCAUGUUUUUAUGCUUAAGCAGUGUAUUAGUGAUCCAGAGUCCAUUCUUCCUAUUGAAGUUCUAGGUGUUCAACAGACCUCUCUUAUGAAGAGGUUACGAUUCAAAUCUUUGAUAGAUAAUUGAAGAAGUUAAGAAAUAAAGAGGUGGCUUCCCUAAAGGUGUUAUGAAAGAAUCACCUAGUUGAGGGUGCAACAUAGGAGACCGAGGCUGACAUGAAGUUCCGUUACCCUCAUAUAUUUGAUAACCAAGGUUCUGGCCGUUGAAGUCUUGUGACGAGUUUUGAAGGAAGGAUUUGAUUCUCAUUUUCAUGCCUUAAAACCCAUUAAGACGGACAGACACCCGAUGCCCUAAAUGCCCGAGAGAACCAACUUGCAACCUGUUCUUACUGUGCAUAUAACUAUAACAAUUGUGGCAAGUUAACCUAGGAUGCAGCGAUACAAAACAACAUAAGUAGGUCCAAAAGUUAUAUAGAAGAAUUGGCCGUUGAGGCCACAACUCCUUAAGACACAACUGAACCAUGUAUGUACGUCUACAAAGCCUCUAAAAGAUAGAAGACUAGAUUAGGUUGGCACAAACUCUUCCUUACCCUUAACUACGAUACAAUACCGAAAUGAAUUUAUGCAAGACUCAAUAAAGCUCUGAAUCAACUUGGAGCUCACCCAAAAGUAGCAGAGUUUCGUGUUCUCCUAUUGAGGAGGUCUACUAGCUUGAGUACCUGUUCCUGCAACAUAAAAAGCAGCGUCCCCCGCGAGAGACGUCAAUACGAAAAAAUGUACUGAAUGUGUAAAGCAAUAACAUAUGUAAUACGAGAGCUCAAAUGAAAUCAAAGUAGCAACAUAUGAGUGCAUAAAUAAGGAGAGAAGACCACCUUUGCUUACUCUUAUGGGAUAAGGUAAGUUACAUUCUUUUCUUUACUUUUCUAUAUGUUAUAAUUUUAUUAAUAGGGAAUGUGAUACAAGUGACCAACUAAUCAGUGGUAGAAGAGGAUGACCCAUUCUAGGGGUAUUAACCCGUGGAAUGGGGUCCUUAGAAUUACACAACUUUCAAUCCGCCCAUGCUAGGCCUUCGCCCCUGAGCUGCCACCCUUCUAUACCAAUAUGAAUCGACCCAUGCUAGGCUUUAACUCCUGAGUUGCCACCCUUAUGUACCAGUUGGGAUCGACCCAUGCUAAGCUUUCGCCCCUUGGCUGCCAUUUGUAAUUAUAUAGAUUUUUUCACUUAGAUUCUUUAAUCUUUGAGAUUGUUGUUUAUCA
Molecule: non-coding RNA, 4295 nt
Organism: Solanum lycopersicum (tomato)
Lineage: Eukaryota; Viridiplantae; Streptophyta; Magnoliopsida; Solanales; Solanaceae
Source: RefSeq, a predicted model, not a curated record